This 503-nucleotide ribosomal RNA is filed under the name uncultured bacterium. Its description in RNAcentral is "bacterial SSU rRNA". It matches the Rfam family "Bacterial small subunit ribosomal RNA", at positions 501 to 1006 of the family's 1533-position model. The record is from RNAcentral.
CUACGUGCCAGCAGCCGCGGUAAUACGGAAGGUCCAGGCGUUAUCCGGAUUUAUUGGGUUUAAAGGGAGUGUAGGCGGUUUGUUAAGCGUGUUGUGAAAUUUAGAUGCUCAACAUUUAACUUGCAGCGCGAACUGGCGAACUUGAGUGCACACAACGUAUGCGGAAUUCAUGGUGUAGCGGUGAAAUGCUUAGAUAUCAUGAAGAACUCCGAUUGCGAAGGCAGCAUACGGGAGUGUAACUGACGCUUAAGCUCGAAGGUGCGGGUAUCGAACAGGAUUAGAUACCCUGGUAGUCCGCACAGUAAACGAUGGAUGCCCGCUGUUAGCGCCUGGCGUUAGCGGCUAAGCGAAAGCAUUAAGCAUCCCACCUGGGGAGUACGCCGGCAACGGUGAAACUCAAAGGAAUUGACGGGGGCCCGCACAAGCGGAGGAACAUGUGGUUUAAUUCGAUGAUACGCGAGGAACCUUACCCGGGCUUGAAUUGCAGACGCAGGAUACAGAGA